This 2905-nucleotide ribosomal RNA is filed under the name Escherichia coli. RNAcentral describes it as "23S ribosomal RNA". It matches the Rfam family "Bacterial large subunit ribosomal RNA". Lineage: Bacteria; Pseudomonadati; Pseudomonadota; Gammaproteobacteria; Enterobacterales; Enterobacteriaceae. The record is from RNAcentral.
GGUUAAGCGACUAAGCGUACACGGUGGAUGCCCUGGCAGUCAGAGGCGAUGAAGGACGUGCUAAUCUGCGAUAAGCGUCGGUAAGGUGAUAUGAACCGUUAUAACCGGCGAUUUCCGAAUGGGGAAACCCAGUGUGAUUCGUCACACUAUCAUUAACUGAAUCCAUAGGUUAAUGAGGCGAACCGGGGGAACUGAAACAUCUAAGUACCCCGAGGAAAAGAAAUCAACCGAGAUUCCCCCAGUAGCGGCGAGCGAACGGGGAGCAGCCCAGAGCCUGAAUCAGUGUGUGUGUUAGUGGAAGCGUCUGGAAAGGCGCGCGAUACAGGGUGACAGCCCCGUACACAAAAAUGCACAUACUGUGAGCUCGAUGAGUAGGGCGGGACACGUGGUAUCCUGUCUGAAUAUGGGGGGACCAUCCUCCAAGGCUAAAUACUCCUGACUGACCGAUAGUGAACCAGUACCGUGAGGGAAAGGCGAAAAGAACCCCGGCGAGGGGAGUGAAAAAGAACCUGAAACCGUGUACGUACAAGCAGUGGGAGCACAGAGCAAUCUGUGUGACUGCGUACCUUUUGUAUAAUGGGUCAGCGACUUAUAUUCUGUAGCAAGGUUAACCGAAUAGGGGAGCCGAAGGGAAACCGAGUCUUAACUGGGCGUUAAGUUGCAGGGUAUAGACCCGAAACCCGGUGAUCUAGCCAUGGGCAGGUUGAAGGUUGGGUAACACUAACUGGAGGACCGAACCGACUAAUGUUGAAAAAUUAGCGGAUGACUUGUGGCUGGGGGUGAAAGGCCAAUCAAACCGGGAGAUAGCUGGUUCUCCCCGAAAGCUAUUUAGGUAGCGCCUCGUGAAUUCAUCUCCGGGGGUAGAGCACUGUUUCGGCAAGGGGGUCAUCCCGACUUACCAACCCGAUGCAAACUGCGAAUACCGGAGAAUGUUAUCACGGGAGACACACGGCGGGUGCUAACGUCCGUCGUGAAGAGGGAAACAACCCAGACCGCCAGCUAAGGUCCCAAAGUCAUGGUUAAGUGGGAAACGAUGUGGGAAGGCCCAGACAGCCAGGAUGUUGGCUUAGAAGCAGCCAUCAUUUAAAGAAAGCGUAAUAGCUCACUGGUCGAGUCGGCCUGCGCGGAAGAUGUAACGGGGCUAAACCAUGCACCGAAGCUGCGGCAGCGACACUAUGUGUUGUUGGGUAGGGGAGCGUUCUGUAAGCCUGCGAAGGUGUGCUGUGAGGCAUGCUGGAGGUAUCAGAAGUGCGAAUGCUGACAUAAGUAACGAUAAAGCGGGUGAAAAGCCCGCUCGCCGGAAGACCAAGGGUUCCUGUCCAACGUUAAUCGGGGCAGGGUGAGUCGACCCCUAAGGCGAGGCCGAAAGGCGUAGUCGAUGGGAAACAGGUUAAUAUUCCUGUACUUGGUGUUACUGCGAAGGGGGGACGGAGAAGGCUAUGUUGGCCGGGCGACGGUUGUCCCGGUUUAAGCGUGUAGGCUGGUUUUCCAGGCAAAUCCGGAAAAUCAAGGCUGAGGCGUGAUGACGAGGCACUACGGUGCUGAAGCAACAAAUGCCCUGCUUCCAGGAAAAGCCUCUAAGCAUCAGGUAACAUCAAAUCGUACCCCAAACCGACACAGGUGGUCAGGUAGAGAAUACCAAGGCGCUUGAGAGAACUCGGGUGAAGGAACUAGGCAAAAUGGUGCCGUAACUUCGGGAGAAGGCACGCUGAUAUGUAGGUGAAGCGACUUGCUCGUGGAGCUGAAAUCAGUCGAAGAUACCAGCUGGCUGCAACUGUUUAUUAAAAACACAGCACUGUGCAAACACGAAAGUGGACGUAUACGGUGUGACGCCUGCCCGGUGCCGGAAGGUUAAUUGAUGGGGUCAGCGCAAGCGAAGCUCUUGAUCGAAGCCCCGGUAAACGGCGGCCGUAACUAUAACGGUCCUAAGGUAGCGAAAUUCCUUGUCGGGUAAGUUCCGACCUGCACGAAUGGCGUAAUGAUGGCCAGGCUGUCUCCACCCGAGACUCAGUGAAAUUGAACUCGCUGUGAAGAUGCAGUGUACCCGCGGCAAGACGGAAAGACCCCGUGAACCUUUACUAUAGCUUGACACUGAACAUUGAGCCUUGAUGUGUAGGAUAGGUGGGAGGCUUUGAAGUGUGGACGCCAGUCUGCAUGGAGCCGACCUUGAAAUACCACCCUUUAAUGUUUGAUGUUCUAACGUUGACCCGUAAUCCGGGUUGCGGACAGUGUCUGGUGGGUAGUUUGACUGGGGCGGUCUCCUCCUAAAGAGUAACGGAGGAGCACGAAGGUUGGCUAAUCCUGGUCGGACAUCAGGAGGUUAGUGCAAUGGCAUAAGCCAGCUUGACUGCGAGCGUGACGGCGCGAGCAGGUGCGAAAGCAGGUCAUAGUGAUCCGGUGGUUCUGAAUGGAAGGGCCAUCGCUCAACGGAUAAAAGGUACUCCGGGGAUAACAGGCUGAUACCGCCCAAGAGUUCAUAUCGACGGCGGUGUUUGGCACCUCGAUGUCGGCUCAUCACAUCCUGGGGCUGAAGUAGGUCCCAAGGGUAUGGCUGUUCGCCAUUUAAAGUGGUACGCGAGCUGGGUUUAGAACGUCGUGAGACAGUUCGGUCCCUAUCUGCCGUGGGCGCUGGAGAACUGAGGGGGGCUGCUCCUAGUACGAGAGGACCGGAGUGGACGCAUCACUGGUGUUCGGGUUGUCAUGCCAAUGGCACUGCCCGGUAGCUAAAUGCGGAAGAGAUAAGUGCUGAAAGCAUCUAAGCACGAAACUUGCCCCGAGAUGAGUUCUCCCUGACUCCUUGAGAGUCCUGAAGGAACGUUGAAGACGACGACGUUGAUAGGCCGGGUGUGUAAGCGCAGCGAUGCGUUGAGCUAACCGGUACUAAUGAACCGUGAGGCUUAACCUU